Ramicandelaber brevisporus is the source of this 73-nucleotide non-coding RNA. The record is from the annotation of a GenBank genome assembly. Lineage: Eukaryota; Fungi; Kickxellomycota; Ramicandelaberales; Ramicandelaberaceae.
UCCUCGGUAGCUCAAUCGGAAGAGCGUGGGACUUUUAAUCCUAAGGUCGAGGGUUCGAGCCCCUCCCGAGGAG